This is a long non-coding RNA of Mustela erminea (ermine), 9471 nucleotides long. RefSeq lists it as uncharacterized. The transcript has 3 exons. NCBI's taxonomy places the organism in Eukaryota, Metazoa, Chordata, Mammalia, Carnivora, Mustelidae. The record is from RefSeq and is a predicted model, not a curated record.
AGAAGUCAAAAGUGAUUACUUCUAUCCUAAGCAGCUUUUCUUGAAAUCAUGACUUGUUUCUGAUCUACACUCAGGGGCCUGUAGAUGUUGCUUCCCAGGCAGGAAACAAAAAGCUUUUUGUUUUGUGGGGUUCAUGGGGGCUAAGGCAGGAGUUAGAGGUUAUUGGGGUUGGGAUGGAAGGGUACCCUGCACAAAACCUUGGCUUUGCUAUGUGCUGCUCUGUGCGGGGUUGAAUAAUUUGGGGGUGGUUUGCAAUGGAAUUUUGGGACCCAAAGAGUAUCCACUUGGGGAUAUUUGUUUUUGGCCAAACCCUUCUUUUUGGAACCACACGAAACUCCUGAUGCUGCCGCCAUUACCCCUUCGAAAGUUGACUCAAAAGCUACGGGGAACUCCAGGUUCUUUAUUACUGCCUUCUUUUGCAAAGCACAACACUCCUCCCUGACUCUCCUGCUCUUGUCCCCUUCUGGUUGGGUCAUGGAGCUGCCCAACUUUCCAGAACAAGAGCUCUCACUCACUGUGCAAUAUGGCCUCCUGGAUCCCAGGAGAGUCUGAAGGAGAACUGCUUCCCGGAACCUCCUGGUGCCCUGGAGGACUUAGGAAACUCUCCCUCCUCCCUCCAUGCUCGGGACUCUGGCUGGCUGGUCAGCCUUGCAGGAGUUCCUUGGCUGAAUGGGAGAAUGCCCCAAGUCCUGCAACUACUUGGUAUUCUUGUAGGGCUGACACUAAAAGCCACAAUCCUGGGCAUUGCUUUUUUUUUUUUUUCUUUUUUAUGGUUUUUUUUUCUCCCCCUUCCGUGGUGCUCAGAGCACCCGUGGGGAAGUUGCUGUCUCAGUACAAUCCAAGUUUGUCUCUAGACUUGUGCAAUAUUUACUGUUCUGGGUUGGAGCCCAUGGAAGUCCAUACUGGGAAGAAACCCUUCCUUCGGUUUUUCAGUGACAUUAGCAAGGAGUCCCUCAGAAGGUCUUGAGUUUUCCAACCCCGAAUCACUUUAGAAGGGGGUAGCUAGAGCAUCUGGUGGACCUGGCACCCCUCCUACGACAGCCUACCUGGCUGUUGCCCCUUAGUGAGGAACUUUUCUCCCUAACCAUCCCCCACCCCAGGGGUCCCUGCUCCACAGCCAGUCCCCUUCCCUGGAUUCCUGAACUAGUCAGUUCUGACACAAAGGUGCUAUUUACCAAACACUCUCCCCCACACACCCCAUUCCUGCCAGGUCUGCCCCCUUUUCAACUCUAGACUCCAAGCUGCCUUCCCAGACCCUGCUUCCAGCCUUUCUUGCUUUAAAGAUAACUUCAGGCCCGCAGACCCAAGAGCACCUUUUCUGGCCUGUGGGUGGAAAUGAAGCUGUGAAUCCCCACAGACUGUGGUGUUGCCUCUUGUCUACAAACAGGCCCCUGCCUUUUUAAAAGCAGCCUCACGGUCUCGUGCUUCAUCUUCUCUCGUUUUUUGUUUUUUUCUUUUUUGAUGUUCACUUUAAAAACAGCAAAACACCCAGAGCUGGACUGUUGAGCAGGCCUGUCUCUCCUAUGAAGUAAAAAUAAUAGUCGUACAUUUGUAAGCUAUAUUCUGACAGAAAAGUCAAAGGUUACUAAUUGUAUAAUAGUGUUUUUAUAUGGAAGAAUGUACAGCUUUAUGGACAAAUGUACGCUUUUUUUGUUGUUGUUGAUACUUUAAUAAAAAUGUAGCAGUUGAAGCCGUGUGGUUUAGAGAAGGUCGCAUUCCCACAUCACUGAGCCUUUCCCUUGGAAUCAAAUCCUUUCUUGGUGUCUCAGUGUUUCCCUUCAGUGACCCCCGAAGGCCUAUAGCAUGUGGCUUGUAUAAAAGAAAAAUCUAGUUGUGUGACUCCUUCCUCCGUCCUUUAAUGCAUGUUCUCACUUCCCUGUGACCCUACUGGACGGGCCGGGGUUCUAGACUGAGCACUCCGGAGUCUGGCCAGGUCUCCUGCAUCUGUUCUUGCUGGGCCUCGGCUGUGCUCACACAUUUCCUCAUUCAGCAUGUGUGACCUGUCCGUCCACAGGAGGCACAGAAAAUAAUACACUUGAUUGGGACUUAUAGCCCGAGUCUCAGACUGAGAUGGUGAGCUGGGGACCCCGAACCCGUUCCCAGGCUGGGGCAGAAUUGUCAGAAAGUUCCAGGUCCAGGCUCUCUUGUCAUCUCUGGGAUGGCCAUUUGGUACCUCCGUUCCUAUUAGACAAAAACAGCUGGGCCGCAGUAUCUGGGCCUUGCAUACCAAGGCUAUACCAGUCGCUAAAGAGCAGCUACUCCCGACAGCAAAGGUUUGUUACCAAUUUAUUACUCCCCCUGGCCAUGUGGAUCAGACAUAUGCAAGGAAAUAAGAGCAGCCUUCAUCAUCCCAGGCUCCUGUGUUCUGUCCAUGAGGCUUGACACAGGCUUCAGCACCCCCCACCCCACUUAGGAGCUCAGCAUUUCCCACGGAGAUCACCAGGACAUCAUGGACCUGGGCUAGUUUUGUUUUUGUUUUUGUUUUUUCCUAGCCAGCAGUGGGCUGUAUUUAAAUUAAAUUUUAAACAUAUUGAUUCAUGAACAGAACCAUUCCCCCCCUCCAUCAACACAAGCUUCAUUUCACACCUCCAUGAUCCUUGUCAAUGAACUUGUGGUUGACCGAGGUGUCCUAGAUGGCCGAGGGACCGGAGAGGCUGUGUAUGGUACAGUGGGUGGGUAGAGGAGGCGGGAGAUGGGGCUGGGGGAAGCCGGCUCAUCUGUCUCACAGAUAGACUUGAUUAUAGGACCCACUUGUGUCAAGACGUUAUUUGAAGGAAUGGUCGCAUUUUCAUCGGUGGCUUUGAACACAAAUGUCCUAGGCACUCGUUUGUAAGGACCCACCUUGAGGGAUGUAAGGAAGGGGUUAGGGAUGCAUUUUUGUCCAUCCUGGUGUUUUAUUCUUGUCAGCACCUAUCUUCUUGUCUCCUAACAGGCUCCACUCAUGAAGGAGAUUUCAUUGCGUUCCUACUCUCUAGCAGAAAGCCUGAAAGGGAGGGCUAUCUGGAGGCCAAAGGGACAUAUCAUUACCCACCAGUCUCCAAGCUAGGGUGACUGCAGAACAGCAGACUGAUCUGGGGGUUGUUCGCGGCUCCUGGUAGCCUGACAGUCCCUCAGUGGACAUGGGAGUGUUCUGUGACCAAGCACGGUCUUUUCUACUGUAGAUCUGGCUCAUUUCAGCAGGGGUGGGGAGUACCCCUUGGCCAUCUGGGGGUCCAGAGGCUGUGGACCUGAAUGAACAGUUCGAGGAGUUGUAGCUGAUGGGUCUCAUGUGUUCAGGGACUGGGCGUUGCUUGGUCCACUCUGCUCCCCGUUUCCCCACUUGGUACACCUCGCCCUCCUGGGAGACCUGUGCUCGGUCAGCUGUUUCUGGAUGAUAUCACACUGUCCAGAGAGUGUGGAUGGGGCCUGGGAGCUGCGGAUUAAGAGCCCAUCCCAGAUUCUGAUAAGGACAUGUGGGUGGGGGAGGCCUUGAUGCUUCAACAAGCAAGCCCAGGGGGAAGAAAGCCUCCCCUGGGAGUCUGACAUCGCCUCUGGAACAGCCUCUCGUAAGCCAAGGCACUGAGGGCCUCCUGGCUUCCAGGGCCACACUGGCCCGGAGGCCCAGUGAAGCAUGAUCCCACGGAAGGAGUUCUGCACCAGGAGGGAGAAUAGAUGGGUUGUCGCUCAGGUUCUUCCUAAUGAGCUGUGUGAACUUGGACAAGCCCCUCAAUUUUCCUCUCAGAAAUUAGGGAGUUGGAUUAGAUGACCUCUGUUUCUCUCUUUGGCUUUUGAUUCUAAGUCAUCUCCAUUAUCCUAGCAAUCAUGGAGGGCAAAUGAGCCCAAUUAUGAUCAUUAUUUUCAAUUAGAUGAACUGGAAGGUCACUUGGGUUGGGAUGUGGAGAAAUAUACCUCCCCUUGCUUGACUCUGACUCUGGCCUAUGAUAAGCUUUCGAUGUCAAGCACAGCGAGACAGUGCUGCAGAGGUCAGCAGCUCAGGCAGUGGGGUAAUGUUGUCAGGGGUCUGAUCUCACCUCUACUGCCCAGCUCCUGGCUCUGCCACCUGGAGCAAGUUACUUUACCCGGCCUCCAUUUCCCCAUUUGUAAAAUGAGAGUAAGGAUAGAACCAUCUCAAAAUGUUGAGAAGUAUUAAAUGAGGUCUAAACCACUUAGAAUAGCUCUUGGCAUAUUUAAGUACUCUACAGGAGAACUGUAGUUUUAAGUAGAAGUUAAUCUGAAUUGGGAGAUGACUAAGGACGCUCUGACAUUCUGGUAACCAGGAGGAAACCAUGUAUUUAAGGAGUAUUUCUAUUAGAGUCUCCCUGGAGGGCGGCAGUUAACAACAUCGGAGCAGCCUUUGGCCUCCCCCACUGAAAGAUGAUUUUCAGUCCUUUGCUGAAAAGUCUUCACAGCCCAGGGGCAUCUGUCUGGCUCAGUCAGUAGAGCAUGUGGCUUUUCAUCUCCAAGUUGUGAGUUCAAGUUCCACCCUGGGUGUGGAGCCUACUUAAAAUAAAAAAAAAACAAACAAACAGCAAGUCUUCAGAGUCCAAGAGCCCUUCCUGAUGUCAUGGAACCCAGAGGACGUACUCCCAAAGUCUAUGCAGAACAAAUGAAUGCACUCAUGCCUGAUCUCUGCCAUUUUUGCCCAAAUGUACCAUGUCCUCCCCGCCAGACAUUUACCUUAUUAGGAGGAGGGGAGCUCUGACCUCUUGGCUCCAUGAGCUGCUUGUGAAUUAAUACCAAACUGGACUCUGUGCUCAUUCACACACACAGUGGGUGGGGAGAUAGAUUUUCCAAUAACAACUUUGCUUAUCUCCAUCCUGCCCACGGGUGGAAUCACACCCACGCAUUCCUUCUGGGAAGAGAGAGAAAUGGGGAAGCUGAGAAGGGCAAGGCUGGUGAGUUCUGGAGAGUUCUGUACCCUCUGUACCACUUUUUUUGCAGAGCUGGCAUGAAAAACAUCUGAACUCAGUCUAAGCGGCUCUCAGGGCCCCGGAUAAUGAUCUUACACAAACAAGCGUGCUGAGAUGGGUGGUCUGUCCUUUUUGCAGCUUUGACAGGGGUCUGCUGCUCUGGACCCCCACAGCCCCAAGUCAUUUUGCUCCCAGUUGAAGUGGCUCUCCCACUCUCCAUCCCUGUUCCCAUAAACGAGGGCAGGCCUUUAUUCAAUCCUUGUCCAGCAAGCCUGUUGGGCUGCCCAGAGCACAUCAGAUAAGGUGAUGUUAUAGCUGGGCAGGUCAGAGCGAGGGCUACUUUCUAUACCCACACCAGCAGGAAGGGGCUGUUUAAACUUCGGUGGGCACCAGAGGAGCGAAGGUACGGCCAGGUCAGCAGUGAAGAAGGGCAGCCGGACAGAGACUGCCGUGAACACAGAGAGUGAGCUCAGGCUUUGUCUGAAAAGGACCCUGCCCUUUGGCUGUAGUCUGCUGUGCUCCUGGGAGACCAAUGAUACCAGACACUGUGAUUUUUCAAGAGAAAUCUGAAAUAGAGACUUUUAUUUCACAUCUACCUAAGGCCUAACGAUGACAACUGAUUUUUUUUUUUAAGUGGUAAACUGCUUUUAAGUACUUAUUUGCCUAGGUUUCCCGUUUGUGACUUGUGAUGUGUUAGACCACCGGGGUGGGGGGCGGGGGGAGGUAGGGCUUUCUGACCCCAGCCCCCAUACUAGGAUGAGGCUGUGCAUUGAGGACAUCAAUGGCACGCCAUCACCAUGCCUGUGAUCUCUUGAAGGAACUUCCUAGCAUGUUCCGGAUAGGACCGAGGGCAUACAUGGGGCCUCUGCUUCCCCUCCAAGGAUUAGAUUAGAAGUAGUUCAGCCCACCUUCAACUGGUGCCCAUUAACUCAGGCCUCUCAGUCUUUGCUCAAGGAAUAUUCUGACUCCUCCUAUCUACCUACUUUGGUUAACUCUCAUCUCUCAAGCUUUAGAUCUUCUCUUCCAGCUUUUCAAAGACAUUGUUCCUUCCCAUGCUACCCAGUUUUUUCCUCUGUCCUAGUCCUUCUAACCCUGAAUUUACUGCUAGAAUGCAGGCCAGAGACCUUCCCUAAGCAUUGUCUGGUGCUUAGUAAGUAUUAGUGAAUUUUGGUUGAACAGGUGAAUGUUAAAGUUGCCAAGAGUGGAGGCUAAUUGAUGAAAGGAAUUUGGAAGGAGUGGAAGAAAAAAAAUCAAGUCUGUUUAAGGUGUGCCAGCCAAGGGUCCCAGCUCAGAAUGGCUAACCUGUGAUCUCACCUUCUUAAGAAAACAAUCCUUUGAAUCUUGCAGGCUCUUAGGUCUCUAAGCGCCUGCUAUUGAAAUGUAAAUGUUACUUAGAGAGGGGUGGACACACUUUAAAUCAUAAUGUAGGGGAACCUCAGUUAUCAAUUAACUCCCUAAAGUGGGUUUACCCAGAAGGUAAGGUCACCUGGACAGAAGGCUGGGUUAUGACGUGUGGGGAAGGAAUUCUGACCACAGUAGCAGGAUAGGGAGAACUCACUUCAGAGAACUCACUUUGGAGGCCAGCUGCUGGGUGGUAGAAACACCCCCAGUCUUAAGAGUUGGGAAAUAGGGGCCCUAGCUUUAGGUCUGACAAAAACUAGUAUUGGAUUAGUCUUUGACAUUUUAGACUAAUCUCUUCCCUCUUCUGAGCCUCCGUUUUCUCAUCUGUAAAAUGAGUCACUGGUGCUGAAUCACCUCUCACCAUCCCAUUUCCAUUUUCAAACAGAGCAGGAAAAUCUCGGAUUCCUCUGUGCUGUGUACUCCCAGGUCCUACCAUGUCACACUUAAGGUAACACAACAGCCUUCCACACACCUCCCUACGGGGCCCAGCCAGCAGCCCAGGGCCACCGAAAACUUCAUUUUCCUCAAGCCAUUCCCUUUCUGCUGCCUUCCUUUGCCGUUUUGAGUUCCAAAAUGGGGAUACAAGGCUCUCCCAAUCUUUCCAACUCCAGACACCCUGGGAAGUGGCCUCACAAUGCCAGGACCCCCUACCUUCUCAAUUCUCUGCUUCUCACCUUUCCUCAAGCCAUGGCCACAUCUCCAAGUCUCUCUACCCUGCCAGUUACAGCGGCCGCAAACCACUUGUGUAAGUACUCUGACAUACUUUCCUCUAGGACAGGAGCCGGUGCUGGGCACUGAACACUGGCUGUUCCCACGCACUCUGCCGGGGGCCGUAUACACAAAGCCUCUCCCUUGUGGCCCCCACAAGCACCCUGGGAGAUGCUUCAGGCUCAGGCUCACAGACAAAGGAGGCAAAGCACCAGUAAGGACAGGGGGCAGUGGUGGAAACAGAUUUAUCUGGAUGUGUCUGUCUCCAGAGUCCAUGCUUUUCCCCCCUUCACCUGCCACCUCUCUGAGAUGUCUUCCCUGAAUAACUCCACUGAGCUCUUGAAAAACAGUCUCACCUGGAGGCUUUUCAACACUGAUACCUAUGGUUUUAAGUGCUUACACUUUCACAAUAAAUUCCUUAUUCCAGGACCUCUUAAUGAUGUACACACAUCGCUUAUUACUGUUUACAUCCGGAUAACAAACACAGUCAGCACAUCUCUACGCACCGCUUGGGGUUGAUGUCUGGAGGCUUUGCAAGCUCAUGGCCCCUCUCCGACUGUCAGCACACACGCCCCCCCUGGGAAGGACACUUGCCUUCUAUUUCUCUUCACACCCCUGUGUGGGGCCCAGGCCUCAGUGUGUGCAGUCUGAGGGCGCUGGCCCUUGAGUGAAAGGCUGUGGUUGAGUAAACUGUGUCUGACCCUCAGGUGGCUGUGGGUCCCGCGCCUUCUCCCUGCCCCCUUCCACUCUUCCCACUCCGGAGGCAGGAAGGAAGGUGCCCACUCUGGGAGUUUCCUAAGAGGGGGUGAGGGAGCCCCCCGUGGGCUGGGGCCCCUGCGGACCCACGUGGCUCCCAGCUCAUGGUCUGCACUCCAGCCAGCGUGUUCUUGGGCCCAUGCUGGUGGUAGGGCUUGCCUGGCUCUCCGGAAUCCAGUCUGUUCCACCCAGAGCCACAACCACUUGAAGUCGAGAGCAGUGAGUUGGCAGAGACCGAGGCAGAUCUAGAUAAGGCUGGAAAUACAUGGAGACUUUUCUUUGGAAUAGGCUUUUACAGGACGUGGGCGGCUACCUUGGUUAAGGGUUCUAUCUUCCCACCGGGAUGGACUCCGUUUGAAAGGGAGGAGACCGCGGGAGGUGGGGGUGGGGUGGGGUGGAGAGGGGCGGAGGCAAAGCCUUCUGAGCCUUCUCUUCUUUAUGGGUGUUCUUGCCCUGGUUCUAGGAAAGCUGGCUCUGGAGGGGACGAUCCCUUUACGGGGAUUGGUGGGGGAGGGGAGGGCGGACGGCGCGGCAGUGACCUUGCAUUUGAGCAACUCAGAGGCUCUUUCUCAGCAGCCAGUGGGGGCCAGAAGUGCAACUAAGCACCUGAGCACCCCCACCCCCAGCUCCUCACAGGCCCAACUCCUCUGGCAAACUCUUUCUUCUUUCGGGUGGAGGUCCCCCUGCCAGCUGCCCUCUCCUCCAGGUGUUUCCUGUGGGCCCUUUGUUUGCCGGCUGGGUGGCUGAGGGCGGGGGCGGGGGGGGGGAAGGGGGCGUCUCUUUGGGCCUCCUGUUAGCCAAUGGCCGCCUGCGGAGGGGAAGCCGGGGCUCCUGUAUCUGGGGAGAACCGACCACAAGCAGCAGCUGCCUCCCAACACCUGCCCUGCUGCGAGUCUGUAAACAGUGCCGGGCCCAGGAGGCUUCCUCCGCAGAGCAGGGCGGAGGGGGCGGGGCGGGGCGCGGCGGGGUGUGUGUGUGUGUGCGCGCGCGUGUGCGUGUGCAGACCAAAGGGGGUCAUUUCCCAAAUGGAUUGUCCAGAAGCUUCCCACCCCAGUUCUCCUUUCCCCAGAGGAGUCAAGGCCUAAAGUGUGGGUCAUCCCAGGAACCUUAGGGCAAAGGACUCUAAUCCCUACUGGAUAAGCCCAGGCAGUACUGGGUCACCCUCCGCUGUCCACCUGCCACGAAGUGGAUGGCAUUGUUUCUCGAGGGGAAAGCCAAGAGCAGCCAGAAACCCAGGCACUGAUAUUAUUACUGUUUAACUAGAGAAGAGGAGACCGAGGCUCUGGAAGGUGAAGCCCAGGAUCUACAGGUGUACCGCUACUGAGUGGUGGAGCCAAGUUCAAAUCCAGAAUGAGAAAUGAGAAACAAGAAGAAAAAUGAAGCCACAACUGGACCCAUGGCUUCUUCUAAUUCUUCCUGCCCUUCCUCAGUGCUCUGGUCUGCUGGACUCCAGGAACUUCUACACAAGGCCACAGUUCACAUUACAGAAAGUCAAAAAAGAUCAGAAAAAUCUGAGAUCUCAAUCUUCCACAUCUUUAAGUGCAAGCUCGGGUUGUCUCUCCUCUAUGAAAUCCUUGCCAUUUGUCCUGAAGUAACUUUACAAAAACCUUCUGAACUCUCAAAGGAAGGAGUUGCUGCUCCCUCCCUCCCCAACUCCCAGAUGGGGUUUUGUGUCCAUAUGUCUUCCAUGAAUUUUCUUUUUUGUUUAUGUAUCAUA